GGCCGCUUAGCUCAGUCGGAAGAGCGCCCGUUUCACAUGCGGGAGGUCGUAGGUUCGAGCCCUACAGCGGCCACCA
RNAcentral lists this transfer RNA (76 nucleotides) under Candidatus Rokuibacteriota bacterium. Its description in RNAcentral is "tRNA-Val". It matches the Rfam family "tRNA". Rfam says of the family: Transfer RNA (tRNA) molecules are approximately 80 nucleotides in length. Their secondary structure includes four short double-helical elements and three loops (D, anti-codon, and T loops). RNAcentral also lists the same sequence under 1 other name. Lineage: Bacteria; Candidatus Rokuibacteriota. The record is from RNAcentral.